Molecule: long non-coding RNA, 1964 nt
Filed under: Nicotiana tabacum (common tobacco)
Lineage: Eukaryota; Viridiplantae; Streptophyta; Magnoliopsida; Solanales; Solanaceae
Description: long non-coding RNA (NTAB_LNC008631)
Source: RNAcentral
CCAAAUCCAUAAGAUUUAAUUGAAAAACAAUCAGCACCAAAUUCCAUUCACAUCUUCAUUUUUGUAAGUUGCUCAAAUCUGACUCCCACAUCAUUAGCAAACAGUGUUAAACUGGCUACUUUACAAUCGGACCUAAUAUUGAAAGGAUAUUCUUUUUCCCAUCUUUCAGAAGGACAAUUUCCAUUUUUCCCAAAACACCAGCUCAAACUUCUUCUCACAACCAGGCAAGCUAAAGGAAAUAAGCUUCAAGUUUCCAAAGGGGAUCACAAAUAGAGAACAUAAGCAGCAAUAGUUUAAGAGCAAUGAAACGAUCACGAAACCAAACAAAACUUCAAUUAUUCACAUCAAAAUCUGAUAGACUUAGGUGACAAUACCAUAAAUUGAGCAUAUUCAAACAUAGGAGAAAGAUCACUCUAAAUCAUCAUCCUAAUGACUUACAAUCAUUCUUGAACUUCAAACUUCCAUUACACUAUGUUUAAACGGUGCAGUUGCAAAAUUCAUUAUCCAAACAAAGUUUUACACGUUAUCUCGUAUUCAACAUGCUUGCUAAUAUUUCAAUUGUAUUUAAGGUUAAGUUUGAGCUGAUAAACAUACAAUAAACCUGAGGUGACUUAAUGACAAAACAACAGUAACUCGAAUCAGGGAACUUGGUCUGAUUUAAUCAUGUAUUCAUUAUCAAAGAUGUAUUCAGAAGACUUUUCCAUAAAGAAACACUUCCGAACAUGAUGCUUAGGAAGAAACAACCAAACAACAGAACUAAGAAUUUUUAAAGGUAACUACAUCAUGCUUCAACUUGAUGAAUUUUAAAGCAUUCUAACAUAUCAAUAUUCCAAUUUUCGUAUGAUCACCUAAUCCAUUAAACUUAAUUGACAGUAAAUGAGCAGAUGCUCAACUUCAAGAACCAACCAAUCUCUUGGAAAUGCAAGCAAAGAAUCAGUCGCUUGAACUUAAUUAUCAAGCAUGAAAUCAACCAAACUCUAAUCAUUUAACUUAAAUCCAAACAGAUCCUAGCAACAAUUGUUUAUCGAAACAUUAAAGACCCAGUAGAUUAACCAUGACUAUUAUCAUAUUCAAAUCAACACUAACAUGAGGUAGUAAAAGAAGAAAGGGAUGAACCUGAGAUGAUGCCUUUUUUGUAAUGGAUUCUGUUAAAUCAUGCGGCUACAAGCGAAUUCAGGAAUGAAAUUCGAAUCAACAACUGAGCACUAAGAGCUCGAAUAGUAAUCGAAUUUGAACAGAACCACGAACCGACAAACUCAAGCAUACUCCAAUUCAAAAUUCCAACACAAACUUAACGGCAUGUCUCGAACCAGCAAAUUUAUUUUGGUAAAAACUCAAGCAGAGACAUAAAUAACCAAAUCUGAAGAUGAAGUUUCAAUCAAUUUGAUAUGAAAAAAACACAACAGUUGAAGCUCGAAAACAGCCGCGAAAUUCAGUGACAAGAACCGACGGAACUCUGAACCUCGAAGGCACUCAGUGGACAACGAUAAUUCAAACCAAAAACUUAGGAAACAAAAUCUCUGUUAGGAGAGUUUUUCUUCAAUAUAACAGUGGAAAGAAAUCAGCAAAUACACAACCCUUGAUUCCGAAAUCCAACGAGAAAGAACAGAAUUUUUCAAAUAGAACUCGACCUGGAACCUCGAGCGAAAGCUUCAACUUGAACUAGGAAUGGACAUAUGAGUGACCUCAUUUUUUAUCUCUUCGAGGCUAAUAGCCUUCUCCAUCUCUAAUAGGGGGGAAAAACAAAGCGUGAGCUAGGGCUUGUUUCAGCGAUGGAUCCCUGCUUCGCUAACUCUGUAGCUAGCGAAUCGAAGAUAAAGAAGAGAAGCAGCGGCGCUGGUGGUCGUUGUGGUGGUGUGACGGCUGGAGGGGGUCUUUUUUAGUUUUUUUGCGUGUGAUCUUCUGAAGGUUAGAGAUGGUCGCCUUUUUUGUUUUGAAGGGUCUCCAGGUUAGGGAAAGUCCGA